Molecule: ribosomal RNA, 490 nt
Filed under: uncultured fungus
Lineage: Eukaryota; Fungi
Description: eukaryotic LSU rRNA
Rfam family: 5.8S ribosomal RNA (bases 88-239)
Source: RNAcentral
AUAUUAAUCCGCUGGCCUCUCUUAGAGCGGCUGGCUGUGAUAUAAAUGCGUGUUAUGUUGACAGUGUGUGUAUAAGUUAAUAUUGACAACUUUUAACAAUGGAUCUCUAGGCUCUUGCAACGAUGAAGAACGCAGCAAAAUGCGAAACGUGAUGCGAUUUGCACGAAUCUGUGAGUCAUCUAAUCUUUGAACGCGAAUGGCACUGCUAUGUAAGUAGCAGUAUGUCUGUUUGAGAAUCGCAAAACACGAUCAACUCUAGUUAAGAGUUGGGAUUGACCUCAUAUGCUAUCUAGCAUAUCUGGUUUGAAUGUAUUAAGUUGAUGAGCUUCCCAAUAUUGCUCAAUGUGUGCUAGCGAGACAGUCGUCCCGAUCUCACAUUACAGCUUUGUUGCAAGGUUCUAUGCACAGCUUUUUAUUUUAUUUUAUAUCAAGUACGAUCUCAAAUCAGGCAAGAUUACCCGCUGAACUUAAGCAUAUCAAUAAGCGGAGG